CUACGGGCGGCUGCAGUGGGGAAUAUUGGACAAUGGGCGAAAGCCUGAUCCAGCCAUGCCGCGUGUGUGAAGAAGGCCUUCGGGUUGUAAAGCACUUUCAGUGGGGAAGAAAGCCUUGGGGCUAAUACCCUCGAGGAAGGACAUCACCCACAGAAGAAGCACCGGCUAACUCCGUGCCAGCAGCCGCGGUAAUACGGAGGGUGCGAGCGUUAAUCGGAAUUACUGGGCGUAAAGCGCGCGUAGGCGGUCUGAUAAGCCGGUUGUGAAAGCCCCGGGCUCAACCUGGGAACGGCAUCCGGAACUGUCAGGCUAGAGUGCAGGAGAGGAAGGUAGAAUUCCCGGUGUAGCGGUGAAAUGCGUAGAGAUCGGGAGGAAUACCAGUGGCGAAGGCGGCCUUCUGGACUGACACUGACGCUGAGGUGCGAAAGCGUGGGUAGCAAACAGGAUUAGAUACCCGAGUAGUC
RNAcentral lists this ribosomal RNA (464 nucleotides) under Vreelandella stevensii. Its description in RNAcentral is "partial 16S ribosomal RNA". It matches the Rfam family "Bacterial small subunit ribosomal RNA", at positions 339 to 795 of the family's 1533-position model. Lineage: Bacteria; Pseudomonadati; Pseudomonadota; Gammaproteobacteria; Oceanospirillales; Halomonadaceae. The record is from RNAcentral.